AGAGUUUGAUCCUGGCUCAGGAUGAACGCUGGCGGCGUGCUUAACACAUGCAAGUCGAACGAAGCACUUUAUUUGAUUUCCUUCGGGACUGAUUAUUUUGUGACUGAGUGGCGGACGGGUGAGUAACGCGUGGGUAACCUGCCUUGUACAGGGAGAUAACAGUUGGAAACGGCUGCUAAUACCGCAUAAGCGCACAGCAUCGCAUGAUGCAGUGUGAAAAACUCCGGUGGUAUAAGAUGGACCCGCGUUGGAUUAGCUAGUUGGUGAGGUAACGGCCCACCAAGGCGACGAUCCAUAGCCGACCUGAGGGGGUGACCGGCCGCAUUGGGACUGAGACACGGCCCAAACUCCUACGGGAGGCAGCAGUGGGGAAUAUUGCACAAUGGGCGAAAGCCUGAUGCAGCGACGCCGCGUGAGCGAAGAAGUAUUUCGGUAUGUAAAGCUCUAUCAGCAGGGAAGAUAAUGACGGUACCUGACUAAGAAGCACCGGCUAAAUACGUGCCAGCAGCCGCGGUAAUACGUAUGGUGCAAGCGUUAUCCGGAUUUACUGGGUGUAAAGGGAGCGCAGGCGGUGCGGCAAGUCUGAUGUGAAAGCCCGGGGCUCAACCCCGGUACUGCAUUGGAAACUGUCGUACUAGAGUGUCGGAGGGGUAAGCGGAAUUCCUAGUGUAGCGGUGAAAUGCGUAGAUAUUAGGAGGAACACCAGUGGCAAAGGCGGCUUGCUGGACGACAACUGACGCUGAGGCGCGAAAGCGUGGGGAGCAAACAGGAUUAGAUACCCUGGUAGUCCACGCUGUAAACGAUGAAUACUAGGUGUGGGGGGACUGACCCCCUCCGUGCCGCAGUUAACACAAUAAGUAUUCCACCUGGGGAGUACGACCGCAAGGUUGAAACUCGAAGGAAUUGACGGGGGCCCGCACAAGCAGUGGAUUAUGUGGUUUAAUUCGACGCAACGCGAAGAACCUUACCAAGACUUGACAUCCAACUAACGAAGUAGAGAUACAUCAGGUGCCCUUCGGGGAAAGUUGAGACAGGUGGUGCAUGGUUGUCGUCAGCUCGUGUCGUGAGAUGUUGGGUUAAGUCCCGCAACGAGCGCAACCCCUAUUGUUAGUUGCUACGAAAGAGCACUCUAGCGAGACUGCCGUUGACAAAACGGAGGAAGGCGGGGACGACGUCAAAUCAUCAUGCCCCUUAUGUCCUGGGCUACACACGUAAUACAAUGGUGGCCAACAGAGGGAAGCGAAGCCGUGAGGCGGAGCAAAUCCCUAAAAGCCAUCUCAGUUCGGAUUGCAGGCUGCAACUCGCCUGCAUGAAGCUGGAAUUGCUAGUAAUCGCGGAUCAGCAUGCCGCGGUGAAUACGUUCCCGGGCCUUGUACACACCGCCCGUCACACCAUGAGAGUCGGGAACACCCGAAGUCCGUAGUCUAACCGCAAGGGGGGCGCGGCCGAAGGUGGGUCCGGUAAUUGGGGUGAAGUCGUAACAAGGUA
This 1488-nucleotide ribosomal RNA is filed under the name metagenome. RNAcentral's name for it is "bacterial SSU rRNA". It matches the Rfam family "Bacterial small subunit ribosomal RNA". The record is from RNAcentral.